RNAcentral lists this ribosomal RNA (361 nucleotides) under uncultured eukaryote. Its description in RNAcentral is "partial 18S ribosomal RNA". It matches the Rfam family "Eukaryotic small subunit ribosomal RNA", at positions 592 to 975 of the family's 1831-position model. The record is from RNAcentral.
CAAUAGCAUAUAUUAACGUUGUUGCAGUUGAAAAGCUCGUAGUUGAACUUUUGGUAGGAGCGACCUGGCCUUGGGCGCAUGCCCUUGUUUGCCGUGUGUCGUAUCUGGCCAUCCUUUUCUUCUUUUUGGAAGGAAUCUUUUACUGUGAGUAAACUGGAGUGCUCAAAACAAGACGUUUGUUUGGUACAUUAAAGCAUGGAAUAAUAAGAUAGGACCUGGUUACUAUUUAGUUGGUUUGCAUAGCUAGGUAAUGAUUAACAGGGACAGUUGGGGGUAUUCGUAUUUAAUUGUCAGAGGUGAAAUUCUUGGAUUUAUGAAAGACGAACGACUGCGAAAGCAUUUACCAAGGAUGUUUUCAUUA